CAAGUACCGUGAGGGAAAGUUGAAAAGCACUCUGAAUAGAGAGUUAAAUAGUACGUGAAACCGCUUAGGGGUUAAGCCUGAUGAGCCCGAAUAUUUGAAAUGAGAAAUUCAUUAUCAKUCAGUAGYUGCCUCGGCAGUGAACGAUGGUAUGCACUUUUCUCAGUGUAAAACAUUGCAAUCUAUUUGUAUAUCCGUAUGGAUGGUUUAUCAAAUGGCCCGUAUGGUUUGUUCAUGCCUAUCUGUGACAUUUUAUGUCAUAUGGUUGAUGCCAUAGCGGUGACCUGGUAAACAGCAGAUAGUUUUUAGCAGUCAUGCAACCACAUUUUAUGUGUAUCACGGCUUGUGUAUUGUUACGUGAGUGCAGUGAUAGCAUGUACUUGAUUGGCAAUGCGAUAGGUUUGGGAACCUUCAGGACCCGUCUUGAAACACGGACCAAGAAGUCUAACAUGUGUGCGAGUCAUUGGGUAUUUUGUUGAAACCUAAGGGCGCAAUUAAAAUAACUAUUUUAUGGGAUUACAAGUGAAUUCGCGUUCAUUUCUUCAUCCCGGGGCGUUCUAUACGAACAUGGUGCAAGCAAUUGAACCCUCUGUUCAAGAGCGUACCUUGAGCAUACAUGCUGUGACCCGAAAGAUGGUGAACUAUACCUGAUCAGAUCGAAGCCAGGAGAAAUUCUGGUGGAGGAUCGAAACAGUUCUGACGUGCAAAUCGAUUGUCAGAAUUGGGUAUAGGGGCGAAAGACCAAUCGAACCAUCUAGUAGCUGGUUCCCUCCGAAGUUUCCCUCAGGAUAGCUGGCGCAAAGAAUUAUAUUGUAUAUAAUCUUAUCUGGUAAAGCGAAUGA
RNAcentral lists this ribosomal RNA (839 nucleotides) under Pseudolycoriella gonotegmenta. Its description in RNAcentral is "partial 28S ribosomal RNA". It matches the Rfam family "Eukaryotic large subunit ribosomal RNA", at positions 345 to 1020 of the family's 3401-position model. The record is from RNAcentral. Lineage: Eukaryota; Metazoa; Arthropoda; Insecta; Diptera; Sciaridae.